UACGAGAGCCCCAAGCGUUACCCGGAUUUACUGGGUGUAAAGGGUGUGUAGGUGGCAGUGUUAGUCAAUUGUUAAAGACCGGGGCUUAACCCCGGAAGGGCGAUUGAAACGGUACUGCUCGAGGGCGCGAGGGGUCUGCGGAACUCAUGGUGUAGGGGUGAAAUCCGUUGAUAUCAUGGGGAACACCGAAAGCGAAGGCAGCAGACUGGCGCGUUCCUGACACUGAGACACGAAAGCCAGGGUAGCGAACGGG
RNAcentral lists this unclassified non-coding RNA (253 nucleotides) under Candidatus Kaiserbacteria bacterium. RNAcentral describes it as "contains 16S-23S intergenic spacer region". It matches the Rfam family "Bacterial small subunit ribosomal RNA", at positions 524 to 776 of the family's 1533-position model. The record is from RNAcentral. Lineage: Bacteria; Candidatus Kaiseribacteriota.